Molecule: ribosomal RNA, 449 nt
Filed under: uncultured bacterium
Lineage: Bacteria
Description: bacterial SSU rRNA
Rfam family: Bacterial small subunit ribosomal RNA
Source: RNAcentral
GUCCAGACUCCUACGGGAGGCAGCAGUGGGGAAUAUUGGGCAAUGGGCGAAAGCCUGACCCAGCAAUGCCGCGUGAAUGAAGAAGGUCUUAGGAUUGUAAAAUUCUGUCCUAUGGGAAGAAACAAAUGACGGUACCCAAAGAGGAAGCUCCGGCUAACUACGUGCCAGCAGCCGCGGUAAUACGUAGGGAGCAAGCGUUGUCCGGAAUUACUGGGCGUAAAGGGCGCGUAGGUGGGCGCUUAAGUCAGGUGUGAAAACUCCGGGCUCAACCUGGAGACUGCACUUGAAACUGGGUGUCUUGAGGGCAGGAGAGGAAAGUGGAAUUCCUAGUGUAGCGGUGAAAUGCGUAGAUAUUAGGAGGAACACCAGUGGCGAAGGCGACUUUCUGGACUGUACCUGACGCUGAGGCGCGAAAGCGUGGGUAGCGAACGGGAUUAGAUACCCCUGUA